This 492-nucleotide ribosomal RNA is filed under the name uncultured bacterium. RNAcentral describes it as "partial 16S ribosomal RNA". It matches the Rfam family "Bacterial small subunit ribosomal RNA", at positions 29 to 507 of the family's 1533-position model. The record is from RNAcentral.
AGUGAACGCUGGCGGUAGGCCUAACACAUGCAAGUCGAACGGCAGCACAGUAAGAGCUUGCCCUUACGGGUGGCGAGUGGCGGACGGGUGAGGAAUACAUCGGCAUCUACUUUUUCGGGGGUGACAACGGAGGGAAACUUAUGCUAAUACCGCAUACGAUCUACGGGUGAGAGCAGGGGAGCUUGGGACCUUUCGCGACACAAUUAGCCGGUGCCGCAUUAGCUAGUUGGGGAGGUAACGGCCCACCAAGGCAACGAUCCGUAGCUGGUCUGAGAGGAUGAUCAGCCACACUGGAACUGAGACACGGUCCAGACUCCUACGGGAGGCAGCAGUGGGGAAUCUUGCACAAUGGGCGCAAGCCUGAUCCAGCCAUGCCGCGUGAGUGAAGAAGGUCUUCGGGUUGUAAAGCCCUUUUGUUAGGAAAGAACAGCAGCGUAAUAAUCCCCCGCUGUUCUGACGGUACCCAAAGAAUAAGCACCGGCUAACUUCGUG